RNAcentral lists this ribosomal RNA (333 nucleotides) under uncultured eukaryote. Its description in RNAcentral is "partial 18S ribosomal RNA". It matches the Rfam family "Eukaryotic small subunit ribosomal RNA", at positions 1470 to 1796 of the family's 1831-position model. The record is from RNAcentral.
CCCUUAGAUGUCCUGGGCCGCACGCGCGUUACACUGAUGCAUUCAACGAGCUUAUAACCUUGGCCGAGAGGCCUGGGCAAUCUUGUUAACGUGCAUCGUGAUAGGGAUAGAUUAUUGAAAUUAUUAAUCUUGAACGAGGAAUUCCCAGUAAGCGCAAGUCAUCAGCUUGUGUUGAUUACGUCCCUGCCCUUUGUACACACCGCCCGUCGCUACUACCGAUUGAAUGGUUUAGUGAGACCCUCGGAUUCGUCCCAGCACAGUGGGUUUCUGCUGAGCUGGUGCGCGGAGAAGACGGUCGAACUUGAUCAUUUAGAGGAAGUAAAAGUCGUAACA